AACGAACGCUGGCGGCGUGUUUAAGACAUGCAAGUCGCACGGUGUCAUUUUGGUAGCAAUACUUGGAUGGCACAGUGGCGCACGGGUGAGUAACACGUGAAUGACAUGCCCUUCAGAGGGGGAUAGCCCAGGGAAACUUGGAUUAAUACCCCAUGGUCUCGCGAGAGUAAAGGCGGCCGCAAGGCUGUCGCUGGAGGAUUGGUUCGCGUUCUAUCAGCUUGUUGGCGGGGUAACGGCCCACCAAGGCUACGACGGAUACCUGGUCUGAGAGGACGAUCAGGCACCCUGGAACUGAGACACGGUCCAGACACCUACGGGUGGCAGCAGUCGAGAAUAAUUCACAAUGGGGGCAAUCCUGAUGGUGCAACGCCGCGUGGAGGAUGAAGGUCUUCGGAUUGUAAACUCCUGUCAUCCGGGAGUAAGACCUGGCCGUUAAUAGCGGACAGGGUUGAUAGUACCGGAAGAGGAAGGGACGGCUAACUUCGUGCCAGCAGCCGCCGUAA
RNAcentral lists this ribosomal RNA (503 nucleotides) under uncultured bacterium. RNAcentral's name for it is "partial 16S ribosomal RNA". It matches the Rfam family "Bacterial small subunit ribosomal RNA", at positions 29 to 523 of the family's 1533-position model. The record is from RNAcentral.